CGUCGUCCCCGGGUGAGUCGAGUCCUAAGGCGAGGCCGACAGGCGUAGUCGAAUGGAUGAACGGGUUGAUAUUCCCGUACCGGUGUUACACCGUUCGAACUGAAUCUGAGAGUACUAACCUUGAUUAUUCUGGUUGAUUAUCUUUCGGGGUUUUCGGCUGGUUUAGUGUUGGGACUGUAUCGGUAGUAGGUUAGCGUGGGAGUGACGCGGGUAGGUAGCCGGCUGCGGAGGUGGUUUUCCGUGGCUAAGCGUGUGGGCUGUCCUCUAGGUAAAUCCGGGGGAUGUUAAGCUGAGGCGUGAUGGGUAGGCUGUAAGGCUGAUUCCGGUGAUCCUGCUUGCCGAGAAAAGCUUCAACGUGAGGUGUGAUUCCGCUCGUACCCUAAACCGACACUGGUGGUCUGGUAGAGUAUACCGAAGCGAUCGGGCGAAUCCUGGCCAAGGAACUCGGCAAAUUACUCCCGUGCCUUCGGCAUAAGGGAGACCCCUGAUGGUGAUGUUUUUUACAGGCGGAGCUGUUGGGGGUGGCACAAGCUAGGGGGUAGCGACUGUUUACCAAAAACACAGGAGCGUGCGAAGGCGUAAGCCGCUGUAUACGCUCUGACGCCUGCCCGGUGCCGGAAGGUU
RNAcentral lists this ribosomal RNA (624 nucleotides) under Gardnerella vaginalis. RNAcentral describes it as "bacterial LSU rRNA". It matches the Rfam family "Bacterial large subunit ribosomal RNA", at positions 1367 to 1878 of the family's 2925-position model. The record is from RNAcentral. Lineage: Bacteria; Bacillati; Actinomycetota; Actinomycetes; Bifidobacteriales; Bifidobacteriaceae.